Molecule: ribosomal RNA, 506 nt
Filed under: uncultured bacterium
Lineage: Bacteria
Description: partial 16S ribosomal RNA
Rfam family: Bacterial small subunit ribosomal RNA
Source: RNAcentral
AUUGAACGCUGGCGGCAGGCCUAACACAUGCAAGUCGAACGGCAGCACAGAAGAGCUUGCUCUUUGGGUGGCGAGUGGCGGACGGGUGAGUAAUGUCUGGGAAACUGCCCGAUGGAGGGGGAUAACUACUGGAAACGGUAGCUAAUACCGCAUAACGUCGCGAGACCAAAGUGGGGGACCUUCGGGCCUCACACAAUCGGAUGUGCCCAGAUGGGAUUAGCCAGUAGGUGGGGUAAUGGCUCACCUAGGCGACGAUCCCUAGCUGGUCUGAGAGGAUGACCAGCCACACUGGAACUGAGACACGGUCCAGACUCCUACGGGAGGCAGCAGUGGGGAAUAUUGCACAAUGGGCGCAAGCCUGAUGCAGCCAUGCCGCGUGUAUGAAGAAGGCCUUCGGGUUGUAAAGUACUUUCAGCGGGGAGGAAGGCGGUGAGGUUAAUAACCUCGCCGAUUGACGUUACCCGCAGAAGAAGCACCGGCUAACUCCGUGCCAGCCGCCGCAGUAA